AUCUGUGAAGUCUCCUCUUAUGUUGAUUAUGGUCAAGAAGAGCUUGGAAGACCCACGACGCGACAGUCUAGCGAGCACCUCAACACACUUGGAUUUCAAGCAAGAAGUAUGCCAUUACGCUCUGGCACCUUCAAGACUCAGUUUGUGACAGUGUUCAGCGUCAAGAUGCCUUCAUAACAGGAGCAAGUGUACCUCAAGACCCUUUUUUGCAUAAUAAAAUGUAUAAAGGCACCACCAUA
Molecule: long non-coding RNA, 239 nt
Organism: Ixodes scapularis (black-legged tick)
Lineage: Eukaryota; Metazoa; Arthropoda; Arachnida; Ixodida; Ixodidae
Exons: 2
Source: RefSeq, a predicted model, not a curated record